This 414-nucleotide ribosomal RNA is filed under the name Allobates femoralis group sp. ABGD cluster 9. RNAcentral describes it as "partial large subunit ribosomal RNA". It matches the Rfam family "Bacterial large subunit ribosomal RNA", at positions 1834 to 2457 of the family's 2925-position model. Lineage: Eukaryota; Metazoa; Chordata; Amphibia; Anura; Aromobatidae. The record is from RNAcentral.
CUUGAUCAAUUAUAAGAGGUCAAGCCUGCCCAGUGACAUUAUUCAACGGCCGCGGUAUCCUAACCGUGCGAAGGUAGCGUAAUCACUUGUCCUUUAAAUAAGGACUAGUAUGAACGGCUUCACGAAGGCUAUACUGUCUCCUUAAUCUAAUCAAUUAAACUAAUCUCCCCGUGAAGAAGCGGGGAUUCAUCUAUAAGACGAGAAGACCCUAUGGAGCUUUAAACAUCUAAGACACUUGAUUUUUACCUACUAAACUUCAUGCAACCUAUCCUUUUGUCUUAAGUUUUAGGUUGGGGUGACCACGGAGAAAAAUUAAACCUCCACGUAGAAAGAAAAUUCUUUUCUAAGCAAAAAGCCACAUCUUAACGCAUCAAUAUAUUGACUUAACUUGACCCAAUUUCUUGCUCAACGAAC